UUCCGGUUGAUCCUGCCGGACCCGACUGCUAUCAGAGUGAGAUUAAGCCAUGCGAGUUAACGUAGCAAUACGUGGCGCACGGCUCAGUAACACGUAGUCAACAUGCCCAGAGGACGUGGAUAACCUCGGGAAACUGAGUCUAAACCGCGAUAAGUGAGGAUUUCUGGAAUGGUUCCUGACUAAAAUCUAUAUGGCCUCUGGAUUGGACUGCGGCCGAUCAGGCUGUUGGUGAGGUAAUGGCCCACCAAACCUGUAACCGGUACGGGCUCUGAGAGGAGGAGCCCGGAGAUGGGCACUGAGACAAGGGCCCUGGCCCUAUGGGGCGCAGCAGGCGCGAAACCUCUGCAAUAGGCGAAAGCCUGACAGGGUUACUCUGAGUGACUUUCGCUAAGAAAGUCUUUUGGCACCUCUAAAAAGGGUGCAGAAUAAGGGGUGGGCAAGUCUGGUGUCAGCCGCCGCGGUAAUACCAGCACCCCGAGUGGUCGGGACGAUUAUUGGGCCUAAAGCAUCCGUAGCCGGUUCUGCAAGUCCCCCGUUAAAUCCAGCUGCUCAACAGAUGGGCCGCGGAGGAUACUACAGAGCUAGGAGGCAGGAGAGGCAAGCGGUACUCAGUGGGUAGGGGUAAAAUCCGUUGAUCCAUUGAAGACCACCAGUGGCGAAGGCGGCUUGCCAGAAUGCGCUCGACGGUGAGGGAUGAAAGCUGGGGGAGCAAACCGGAUUAGAUACCCGGGUAGUCCCAG
This 740-nucleotide ribosomal RNA is filed under the name uncultured archaeon. RNAcentral's name for it is "bacterial SSU rRNA". It matches the Rfam family "Archaeal small subunit ribosomal RNA", at positions 1 to 750 of the family's 1478-position model. The record is from RNAcentral.